RNAcentral lists this ribosomal RNA (460 nucleotides) under uncultured bacterium. RNAcentral describes it as "partial 16S ribosomal RNA". It matches the Rfam family "Bacterial small subunit ribosomal RNA", at positions 338 to 795 of the family's 1533-position model. The record is from RNAcentral.
CCUACGGGUGGCAGCAGUGAGGAAUAUUGGUCAAUGGACGAGAGUCUGAACCAGCCAAGUAGCGUGAAGGAUGACUGCCCUAUGGGUUGUAAACUUCUUUUAUAUGGGAAUAAAAUGUUCCACGUGUGGGAUUUUGUAUGUACUAUAUGAAUAAGGAUCGGCUAACUCCGUGCCAGCAGCCGCGGUAAUACGGAGGAUCCGAGCGUUAUCCGGAUUUAUUGGGUUUAAAGGGAGCGUAGGUGGGUUGUUAAGUCAGUUGUGAAAGUUUGCGGAUCAACCGUAAAAUUGCAGUUGAAACUGGCAGUCUUGAGUACAGUUGAGGUGGGCGGAAUUCGUGGUGUAGCGGUGAAAUGCUUAGAUAUCACGAAGAACUCCGAUUGCGAAGGCAGUUCACUAGACUGCAACUGACACUGAGGCUCGAAAGUGUGGGUAUCAAACAGGAUUAGAUACCCCAGUAGUC